UACGUAGGGGGCAAGCGUUGUCCGGAAUCAUUGGGCGUAAAGCGCGUGUAGGCGGUCCGGUAAGUCCGCUGUGAAAGUCGGGGGCUCAACCCUCGGAUGCCGGUGGAUACUGUCGGGCUUGAGUACGGAAGAGGCGAGUGGAAUUCCUGGUGUAGCGGUGAAAUGCGCAGAUAUCAGGAGGAACACCGAUGGCGAAGGCAGGUCACUGGGCCGCAACUGACGCUGAGGAGCGAAAGCGUGGGAGCAAACAGG
RNAcentral lists this ribosomal RNA (252 nucleotides) under uncultured bacterium. RNAcentral's name for it is "partial 16S ribosomal RNA". It matches the Rfam family "Bacterial small subunit ribosomal RNA", at positions 524 to 776 of the family's 1533-position model. The record is from RNAcentral.